GGUGCCUCCACAGCCUCUGUCCUGUGACUGAGCAGGGGGGCUGUGAAACUACAGGCCACUGGUCGCUAAUUAAAUGUUACUUGGGGACAGAAGAGAGACUUCUGAGCUCCAGAGACCGUGGAGAGUUCCAGAGUGGGAGUGUGGUCAGGGUCUCCUCCACCCCAGGCCCACCUGCCUGCCUGUCCUGGGUCCACUGUGGGCCCCAGGUGCCCUGGUUCCACAGGGCCUGUUCCGGGGGCACAGGCAGGAGACAGGAGGGCAAGGGAGGGGGGCAAAGAGCCCUUUCACGGGUCCCUCCGGGUGGAGGUAACUGCCCUGCCCUGUCUCACUGUGGAGGGGCAGUGUUGGCGACCCGGGACAGCCCCCUCUUCUCUAUCCUGGGAGUUAGCGUGGCUCUGGUGCCCACUGCCUGGCCUGGGAUGCUGCCAAGCUGGGGGCUGGGCAUGGUCUGGGCACUGGAGGGGCUGGCAAGGGGAGGGGAGGCACUGAGCCCGUGGGGCUGCCCGCAGCCUUGGGGUGAAACGCUGUCUCCAGGGGGUUUGUCCCACAUGCCCCUUAUGGGGACUCACGAGGUGCAAUUGCCCCGUUUUCCACGGAGGGGCAGGCUCUGGAGGGUCGGUGAUUCAUGGAGGCCGCACCUUGUCAUCCGCUGGCCCCCACCUGGCAUGUCCUCCUGCACACGGCAGGGCCUUUGUGAGCUUGUGGGACUCAGAGUGGACUGGGGAUCCCUGGCCCAUGCAGAGGCCACUGGGCAAGGGGACAGGCCCUGGCCUCAGCCGGGAGACCAGGCUCCUGGUCCCAGAGUCUGUGCUCUGAGGCCAGGGUGUCAGCAGGCACAGGGCUGGGGGCAGGCCACCCUGCUCUCUGGAGCCCAGGGUCAGAGUCCGGCCUCCCGACAGCCUCCCUGGAGCUGCGGCCGGUGCCCGGGUGUCGGGGCAGCGGGCCCUCCCUCCGGGUCUCUUCCAGGAGCUCAGGCUUGGCGUCUGGCUGUAAUAGCACCGAACUGCGAGCCAGUCAGAGAAAGAGGACAGGACGUGAGGAAGCGAGCACACGCUCCUCCCAGUGCUCCCUGGGUCAAAGGGGGCACUCCAGAGGACGCUGCCAACGAGACGUAGAAGCGAAGAGACAAAGCAGCGUGAAAAUAUGUGGUGAUGUGGAGGCCCUGGUUCCGCAUGCCCACAGCUACAUACAGCCCCUCGCGCUCAUCCUCCCUGAUUGGGAGGCCCGAGACGCACAGACGGCUCCAGAGAGCAGACAGAGGCUGGGAUGCUGCCAGCGGAGCUCCAGGAAGGAUGACACAUCCAUGUCCGGGAGUCCCAGGCUUUGCAGCAGAGGGGGAUGGAAGACGCAGAUGGAUUGAAGAGUUGAUGCUUUCCAGGUGUCGUGCUGGAGAAGACUCUUGAGAGUCUCUUGGACUGCUAGGAGAUCCAACCAGUCAAUCCUAGAGGAAAUCAACCCUGAAUAGUCACUGGAAGGACUGAUGC
Bubalus bubalis (water buffalo) is the source of this 1484-nucleotide long non-coding RNA. RefSeq lists it as uncharacterized. The record is from RefSeq and is a predicted model, not a curated record. NCBI's taxonomy places the organism in Eukaryota, Metazoa, Chordata, Mammalia, Artiodactyla, Bovidae. The transcript is spliced from 3 exons.